UGGGGCGUGGCCAAGUGGUAAGGCAGUGGGUUUUGAUCCCGUUACUCGGAGGAUCGAAUCCUUCCAUCCCAG
This 72-nucleotide transfer RNA is filed under the name Hordeum vulgare. Its description in RNAcentral is "tRNA-Gln". It matches the Rfam family "tRNA". Rfam says of the family: Transfer RNA (tRNA) molecules are approximately 80 nucleotides in length. Lineage: Eukaryota; Viridiplantae; Streptophyta; Magnoliopsida; Poales; Poaceae. The record is from RNAcentral. RNAcentral also lists the same sequence under 1 other name.